Molecule: long non-coding RNA, 1761 nt
Organism: Homo sapiens (human)
Lineage: Eukaryota; Metazoa; Chordata; Mammalia; Primates; Hominidae
Product: long intergenic non-protein coding RNA 1505
Source: Ensembl
AAUGGAGCAGAGACUGGAGCAGAGACAAGUUGUUCCCACUGAGCUCUCCUCAGAUUACAGAUUGGUCUGAUUAUAAAAGGAGAAUUGGAGGCUUACCAAACAUCUGAAGAGCUUUCCAGAAGUUUGGUCACUUCUGAAUUAGAGAAGUUAAAACCCAAUCACCUACUAAUGCUGUGGGAAAGUUCUGCAGGUGAUACAUCACAGGGGCUCAUGAAUGUGUCUUAAGCUGGGUCAUUGAAGUGGAAUGUUUUCACAAGACCUCCUCCACUUGCUACUGUGUCCGGAAUUGGUGGGUUCUUGGUCUCACUGACUUCAAGAAUGAAGCCGCGGACCCUCGCGGGAGUGGCAAAUCAAAGGCAUUGCAGCCUCUUUCAUCACUGCCGAUUGCUGAUGCCAACCAUGUGCCAAGUGCUUAAUACGUCACCUUAAAUCUUCUCAUCCACCCUCAGAGUAGCUGCAGCAUCAACCCAGUGCCCUGACUUUCAAGACGACUAUGAAAACACCCCAACUGCUGCUAAAUUACCAGCAACAAGGAUCUGGAAUUUUCCUGACAAGAGCAGUGCCUAUCCUGAGGCAAUCGUAUUUCUCCUUGACUUCUCUCCAGUAUCAGCUUGUUGCUUGACACCCCUGCACAGCCAACUGUGUAAUGUGGGUGAGUCUAGCUGCAUUUUCUUCAGACACAAGCCUGGCUACCCAGUGCUAAGGUGACAUCAGGCCAGGCCACAGUAAGUCAUUUAUCCUCCACGCCUUCCUCUCCAGCCCUGAGUGAGGUGGAGUCCUUGAAACUAUCACCAUCCAGUGGAAAUCAGUGCUGCACUUUCAGGAGGUUAAGCAUGAAAAGAGCAUAAAAGGUGCUAUUACCCCGUGUCUCAGUAAUUCCCCUUCUGGAAACCUUUUCUGAGGAAAUGAUGUGAAAGGAUUCGGUCAUAGUGGCUGGUAGUUACUGAGCACUCACUAUGUGCUGACACUUAUAAUUGCCAGGUAUAUAUUGACUUAUUUAAUCAUCAUAACAACUCCAGGAGGAAGCAGUCAGGUUAUCCCCAUUUUUCAGAUGAGAGAACCAAAGAACAGUGAGACAAUUGUAUGUAUGUUCAUGCUGCUUAAGUGUGUAGGAGCUGAGAGUGAGCCCAGGUAGUCUGAUUUCACAAGUCCUCACUCUUGACUUCUAUACUAGUGUGGCCUCCAUGCACAAAGCUUGAUAUAAAUAGAAGAGGAAGAAGAAGAAGAAUGAGGAGGGAUGGGAGAGAAGGAAGAAGGGGAGCAGGAGAACAAAAGGAAGGAAAAGAACAGGACAGGAAGGAAGAUUUAGAAUAAAAGUUAAAUUUAUUGUUAUUUAUGAUAGUGAAAAUCUGGGCCAGGGCCAUUUGGGUCAAGUAUUCUGGCAUUACAGGUACCCAGGGUAUUCUGAAGAAAGAGAGUUCUAUGGGUACAGCUGCCUUCUCACUCACUGGGGAGGAGCACAGUACUGAGAGUGGGGCUUACGUUUACAAAGUUGGUAUGAAAAUUAAUAGGCAUCUACAUUCCUAGAUGUCAAUAAAUAGAGUGAGAGUUGUUUGUUUGCUUGCAUAUUGGAAUGGAGAAAAAUAGGUCCAGUCCUAACAAACUUUAAAUUACUUCUGCUCUUCCCUUCUUCCUGAACACUUUCAUCUGUCCACAUUACUAUGCGAAUUUUUUGAUGCUGUCAAUGGGAAUUUUUAAAAUAAGUAUGUUGCUAUGUCAAAAAAUUUGGAAAUUAAAAGAUGUUGUUUUACAUUCUUGGCA